AAUCUACCUUGUACAGAGGGAUAGCCCAGAGAAAUUUGGAUUAAUACCUCAUAGUAUUAUUGAAUGGCAUCAUUUAAUGAUUAAAGUUCCAACGGUACAAGAUGAGCAUGCGUCCUAUUAGCUAGUUGGUGUGGUAACGGCAUACCAAGGCUACGAUAGGUAGGGGUCCUGAGAGGGAGAUCCCCCACACUGGUACUGAGACACAGACCAGACUCCUACGGGAGGCAGCAGUGAGGAAUAUUGGACAAUGGGCGCAAGCCUGAUCCAGCCAUGCCGCGUGCAGGAAGACGCAUCUAUGGUGUGUAAACUGCUUUUGUACGGGAAGAAACACUCCCUCGUGAGGGAGCUUGACGGUACCGUAAGAAUAAGGAUCGGCUAACUCCGUGCCAGCAGCCGCGGUAAUACGGAGGGUCCAAGCGUUAUCCGGAAUCAUUGGGUUUAAAGGGUCCGUAGGCGGUUUAAUAAGUCAGUGGUGAAAGCCCAUCGCUCAACGAUGGAACGGCCAUUGAUACUGUUAGACUUGAAUUACAAGGAAGUAACUAGAAUAUGUAGUGUAGCGGUGAAAUGCUUAGAUAUUACAUGGAAUACCAAUUGCGAAGGCAGGUUACUACUUGUGGAUUGACGCUGAUGGACGAAAGCGUGGGGAGCGAACAGGAUUAGAUACCCUGGUAGUCCACGCCGUAAACGAUGGA
This 692-nucleotide ribosomal RNA is filed under the name uncultured bacterium. RNAcentral describes it as "bacterial SSU rRNA". It matches the Rfam family "Bacterial small subunit ribosomal RNA", at positions 123 to 813 of the family's 1533-position model. The record is from RNAcentral.